Molecule: long non-coding RNA, 1012 nt
Organism: Siniperca chuatsi (mandarin fish)
Lineage: Eukaryota; Metazoa; Chordata; Actinopteri; Centrarchiformes; Sinipercidae
Exons: 3
Source: RefSeq, a predicted model, not a curated record
CAAGAACCUACAACCCAGCAGGGCAGGGCAGAAGCGAAUCGAAUCAGGCAGUGCUCAGGAGGUCAGCAGACUCCCUCUGCAAGCUCUGCCUCUCACUGCUGUGUGGAUUUCCCUGCGAAAUGCUGGAUCACAUGAUAGCUGACACUAGAGAGUGACAGGAAACCAAUCAAGGACAUCGCAAUUAACAUCCUAAGCAAGACGAUUUGACGGCGUCCCGAACCACCACUUAAACAUCCCUAUUCAUCUCAAACUAAAACCUGCGCGAGAGAGAGAAAUACCAACUUGAACCGUCGAGAGAACAAUUUGCAAAAGCCUUGGAAUGUUAUAUACCACUUGCCACUUUCUGGAAAUAAGACUCGCACUGAUGGAGACAACGCUGAUGGCAUUGGCAGCGACAGCAGUGAUAUAACAUGUCAUAACCUUGCGUCCUUGCGCCAAGCGUUUUAGAACCAUCAAUCUGUUUGACCUUUAUCCAGGACUCAGGCCCAUCAUGCACUCAGAUCCUUUCUCUCAAUUUCUUUCACUCUAAUCAGACCUGCCCUGACAAUGAUUGUUACAAAGGAUGUUGGAAGUCUACGUGUGUGUGUGUGAGUAUGUGAGAGAGAGAGACUGAGGAAGAUGGAGAGACAGGGAGAGGCUGCCCUUGAGUGCAUUCACGUAAGAACUGGGGCCACCUGAGAGCAACUGAGCACAGAACAGUGAAGAUGAGAGAAAAUGAAGAGACAAAAGCACUUCCCUGGUGUAAUUAUGCUUUCAUUUCAUGGCCAAGUAUCCACAUGAUGUGCCCCGCAUGCAGAGACACUCAUUAGAGUUAUUGCACACCAGAAAUGUAACUGGCAUCUGCCUGUAGAGAGCAUGGGUGUAUGUAAAGUGAGGGUAAAAUGGCAAAAAUAUCUUCAGUAAAAGAUGUGGAUGUUAUAACUGAGUGGAGGCAUCUUCUUGUUUUAGAUGAACUGUGAAGUUUGGCAUCCCUGAGCCAUUUUGCUUUUGUUUGCAUGUCAUUCCAAAAAAA